Molecule: ribosomal RNA, 854 nt
Filed under: uncultured Verrucomicrobiota bacterium
Lineage: Bacteria; Pseudomonadati; Verrucomicrobiota
Description: bacterial SSU rRNA
Rfam family: Bacterial small subunit ribosomal RNA
Source: RNAcentral
CAAGUCGAACGGGAUUUUUUCCUGUAGCAAUACAGGGAAAAGUCUAGUGGCGAACGGGUGCGUAACACGUGGGCAAUCUGCCUUAAAGUGGGGGAUAGCUCGGCGAAAGCCGAAUUAAUACCGCAUGUGAUCAGAGGAGGCAUCUUCCCGAAAUCAAAAGUGGCGCAAGCUACUGCUUUUUGAGGAGCCCGCGGCCUAUCAGCUAGUUGGUGAGGUAACGGCUCACCAAGGCUUUGACGGGUAGCUGGUCUGAGAGGACGACCAGUCACACUGGAACUGAGACACGGUCCAGACACCUACGGGUGGCAGCAGUCGAGAAUUUUUCUCAAUGGGGGAAACCCUGAAGGAGCGACGCCGCGUGGAGGAUGAAGGUCUUCGGGUUGUAAACUCCUGUCAUUUGGGAACAAGUGCCGGUACCUAACUGCUACCGGCUUGAUAGUACCAGAAGAGGAAGAAACGGCUAACUCUGUGCCAGCAGCCGCGGUAAUACAGAGGUCUCAAGCGUUGUUCGGAUUCAUUGGGCGUAAAGGGUGUGUAGGUGGCGCCGUAAGUGGGGUGUGAAAUCUCGGGGCUUAACUCCGAAACUGCAUUCCAUACUGCGGUGCUUGAGGACUGGAGAGGAGACUGGAAUUCAUGGUGUAGCAGUGAAAUGCGUAGAGAUCAUGAGGAAGACCAGUGGCGAAGGCGGGUCUCUGGACAGUUCCUGACACUGAGACACGAAGGCCAGGGGAGCAAACGGGAUUAGAUACCCCGGUAGUCCUGGCAGUAAACGGUGCACGUUUGGUGUGGGAGGAUUCGACCCCUUCUGCGCCGGAGCUAACGCGUUAAACGUGCCGCCUGGGGAGUACGGUCGC